This 29-nucleotide small RNA is filed under the name Bombyx mori (domestic silkworm). Its description in RNAcentral is "piRNA piR-bmo-1260225". Lineage: Eukaryota; Metazoa; Arthropoda; Insecta; Lepidoptera; Bombycidae. The record is from RNAcentral.
UCACUUCUAGGUCGACAGGCGUCUGCAGU